Molecule: ribosomal RNA, 229 nt
Filed under: uncultured bacterium
Lineage: Bacteria
Description: partial 16S ribosomal RNA
Rfam family: Bacterial small subunit ribosomal RNA
Source: RNAcentral
UCCGUAGGCGGGCGAUUAAGUCAGAGGUGAAAUCCCACAGCUUAACUGUGGAACUGCCUUUGAUACUGGUCGUCUUGAGUUAUAGUGAAGUAGAUAGAAUAUGUAGUGUAGCGGUGAAAUGCAUAGAUAUUACAUAGAAUACCGAUUGCGAAGGCAGUCUACUAACUGUUAACUGACGCUAAGGGACGAAAGCGUGGGGAGCGAACAGGAUUAGAUACCCUGGUAGUCC